UGCCCCCUCGUUCAAUGGUAGGACUGACGACUCUGAAUCGUCCAAUCGGGGUUCGAAUCCCUGGGGGGCAACCA
RNAcentral lists this transfer RNA (74 nucleotides) under Acidobacteriaceae bacterium. RNAcentral describes it as "tRNA-Gln". It matches the Rfam family "tRNA". Rfam says of the family: Transfer RNA (tRNA) molecules are approximately 80 nucleotides in length. Their secondary structure includes four short double-helical elements and three loops (D, anti-codon, and T loops). The record is from RNAcentral. Lineage: Bacteria; Pseudomonadati; Acidobacteriota; Terriglobia; Terriglobales; Acidobacteriaceae.